This 497-nucleotide ribosomal RNA is filed under the name uncultured bacterium. RNAcentral's name for it is "partial 16S ribosomal RNA". It matches the Rfam family "Bacterial small subunit ribosomal RNA", at positions 28 to 507 of the family's 1533-position model. The record is from RNAcentral.
GAUGAACGCUGGCGGCGUGCCUAAUACAUGCAAGUCGAGCGAACAGACGAGGAGCUUGCUCCUCUGACGUUAGCGGCGGACGGGUGAGUAACACGUGGAUAACCUACCUAUAAGACUGGGAUAACUUCGGGAAACCGGAGCUAAUACCGGAUAAUAUAUUGAACCGCAUGGUUCAAUAGUGAAAGACGGUUUUGCUGUCACUUAUAGAUGGAUCCGCGCCGCAUUAGCUAGUUGGUAAGGUAACGGCUUACCAAGGCGACGAUGCGUAGCCGACCUGAGAGGGUGAUCGGCCAAACUGGAACUGAGACACGGUCCAGACUCCUACGGGAGGCAGCAGUAGGGAAUCUUCCGCAAUGGGCGAAAGCUUGACGGAGCAACGCCGCGUGAGUGAUGAAGGUCUUCGGAUCGUAAAACUCUGUUAUUAGGGAAGAACAAAUGUGUAAGUAACUAUGCACGUCUUGACGGUACCUAAUCAGAAAGCCACGGCUAACUACGUG